RNAcentral lists this long non-coding RNA (1732 nucleotides) under Triticum aestivum (bread wheat). RNAcentral's name for it is "long non-coding RNA (TAES_LNC022506)". Lineage: Eukaryota; Viridiplantae; Streptophyta; Magnoliopsida; Poales; Poaceae. The record is from RNAcentral.
CAUAGCCUUGGCCGCAAAGCGUCUCCAGGGACCCGCUUAACCCAGUCUGCAUGGGAACAAGGUAACGUUAGUCAGUUCAUCAGUAUGCGCUGUUCCUCUUGGUUUCUCUACUAAAAUCUGCAUUGCCGUAAGGUUUUGUGGUAAACUGAAGGGAUAGAAACAUCAAACUGUUGCAAAGUUGAAAAUUCUCAAUAGGAACAACCAGUCUAACCAGGGCUGAAGAAAUUACAGCAACAUACUGCACUGCUACCAUAGUAGUACUAGCACAGUUCAGGAUUUGACUUCCUCAGUUGUCUCAACCUGUGACCAUGUGCUGUGUUUAUUCUGAAGCCUGACAUAUGCUUAAUUCCUGGGAUCCGGAUAAAGGGCAUGUGCAAAUCUGUCUACAUUGGCGAUGAAAGAUCCAUGAUAAUCUUACAACAAUGGUCCUAUCCUGACAAACUUUUGCAUAUUAUAACGAAGUAUACUUGAGAGUUGACUCUAUGCUUCACAGCCAACACUAUCUUUGCAACCACUACACACUAGUACUGACAUAUAUAUAGCCAUGAAUAUAGGAGUUGACCAGUCUUAUACUACCUACCGGCUAGACAACUGAUCAUAGCUCAUGUACUGAAAUGACACAGCAUGGCAUUGCUUUCAUCUUAAGAGAAAAAAGAGAUCCUAUGCAUGAAUUUCUGCUGCACUUCCAUGUUUUCUAAUGUUGAAUUUGAAGCCAAAUGGCAUGUUGAAGUUUUGUCUGUGUAUUCCUUGCAUCCAUUUAAAAUUAGCAAGUAGGUUAGGCCAUAGUCAGGCGAAUGCGCAAGGACUUUUCUUUUUUCAGAAUAAAUGUGUAAGGACUAAAGCGGCAGCUUUUAGGUGCCAGCAUAAUAGGGGUUCUAGAAUUUGUCUGGUCCAAGUCCUCUGUAUCCUUGUCUAGACAAGUCCUCUCUUUGAGACAUUCUUCUCAAAAAGAAGUAUCAAUGCUGGAUGUUCAUAUUGCCCAGUGACUGCAACAUAACCCAACACUGAAAGAAUAUCAUAUCAGUUUAUUAAUGCAUUCAUUUAUUUAUCCUUUAAGAAAGCAUAUUCACAAGCUAAUCCUGUGCAAUGGCUAUGAUUCCGUAUACACCACAGCUCGUGAAAAAGCCUCAAGUAAACGUUCCAAUCCAAGAUUGAGAAGCCAUUUGCGUCAUUUACACCAUAAUUAAUAUAUUUAACAAAGCUUAGAUAACCACUACAGACCUAUAUAGUACAGUACAUGUCAAGGACCUAACCAAAUAUGCUUUAGGAUAUUAACUAAUUGUUCAUUUAUUUAUUUAUUUAUUUAUGGUAACUCUGGUCUGAGUAAUUAAUCUGCAGACAGAUCAAAGUGAGUAAUUGUUAUUCUAGUCUUGGAGACAGAUCUAAGUGAUAGAAUGAAUGAUGGAGCAUAUGUCUAUGACGGGCAACUUAGUUGAGCAAUGGAGACUAUGGAGUGGUGGCAGUAAAAAUUGAAGAUGAUGGCAAAGGAGACCAAAGAAAAGAUGGUAGGUAAAUACCAAGCUCAUAUGAGCUCGAGCUGAGAACAGCACAUUCGGUAGGUAAACAUUGUUUUCGAUGCAUACAGGGAGGGACGGCUAAAGAGACAGACGAAGACGUUUUUACAGAGCAUCUCCGGGCAGGUCGCCGGAGAUGAGGAGGAGGAGAAGCCUCCUUCCCCUAGAAUCAGAUCAAAUCAAUGGAGAAGAAGGAUGAGGCAAAAUAUAUGAUAGAC